AACGAACGCUGGCGGCAUGCCUAACACAUGCAAGUCGAACGAGACCUUCGGGUCUAGUGGCGCACGGGUGCGUAACGCGUGGGAAUCUGCCCUUCGGUUGGGAAUAACUGAGAGAAAUUUCAGCUAAUACCUUAUAAUGUCUUCGGACCAAAGAUUUAUCGCCGAGGGAUGAGCCCGCGUAGGAUUAGGUAGUUGGUGGGGUAAUGGCCUACCAAGCCGACGAUCCUUAGCUGGUCUGAGAGGAUGAUCAGCCACACUGGGACUGAGACACGGCCCAGACUCCUACGGGAGGGAGCAGUGGGGAAUAUUGGACGAUGGGCGAAAGCCUGAUCCAGCAAUGCCGCGUGAGUGAUGAAGGCCUUAGGGUUGUAAAGCUCUUUUACCCGGGAUGAUAAUGACAGUACCGGGAGAAUAAGCUCCGGCUAACUCCGUG
This 433-nucleotide ribosomal RNA is filed under the name uncultured bacterium. Its description in RNAcentral is "partial 16S ribosomal RNA". It matches the Rfam family "Bacterial small subunit ribosomal RNA", at positions 29 to 507 of the family's 1533-position model. The record is from RNAcentral.